RNAcentral lists this ribosomal RNA (443 nucleotides) under Notobryon thompsoni. Its description in RNAcentral is "partial 16S ribosomal RNA". It matches the Rfam family "Archaeal large subunit ribosomal RNA", at positions 1921 to 2665 of the family's 2987-position model. Lineage: Eukaryota; Metazoa; Mollusca; Gastropoda; Nudibranchia; Scyllaeidae. The record is from RNAcentral.
AGCUACGAGGAUUUUAUUCGUAGUUUCACCUGCCCAAUGUGAAAUUAAAAAGAUGAAUGGCCGCGGUACCCUGACCGUGCUAAGGUAGCGUAAUCAGUUGACUUUUAAAUGGAGUCAGGAAUGAAUGGAAUAACCGGGUUUGACUGUCUCUUAAUUGUUUUAUUGAAUUUACUGUUCAAGUGAAAAAGCUUGAGAGUGGAAAAAAGACGAGAAGACCCUUAGAAUUUUUCUUAAUAUGGGGAAUGCUCAUUGUGGUUUUGUUGGGGCGACAGAGAAGCAUAAUUAGAACUUUCUUUUUAUACUUGCCGAUAAUGUUAAGUAAGGAUAAAUUACCUGAGGGAUAACAGCAUAAUUCUACAGAUGAGUUUGUGACCUCGAUGUUGGACUAGGAAACUAGCAGGCUAGCCGUUUGCUGUGUGGGUUCUGUUCCAACUUUAAUUCCU